GAUGAACGCUGGCGGCGUGCCUAAUACAUGCAAGUCGAGCGAACAGACGAGGAGCUUGCUCCUCUGACGUUAGCGGCGGACGGGUGAGUAACACGUGGAUAACCUACCUAUAAGACUGGGAUAACUUCGGGAAACCGGAGCUAAUACCGGAUAAUAUAUUGAACCGCAUGGUUCAAUAGUGAAAGACGGUUUUGCUGUCACUUAUAGAUGGAUCCGCGCCGCAUUAGCUAGUUGGUAAGGUAACGGCUUACCAAGGCAACGAUGCGUAGCCGACCUGAGAGGGUGAUCGGCCACACUGGAACUGAGACACGGUCCAGACUCCUACGGGAGGCAGCAGUAGGGAAUCUUCCGCAAUGGGCGAAAGCUUGACGGAGCAACGCCGCGUGAGUGAUGAAGGUCUUCGGAUCGUAAAACUCUGUCAUUAGGGAAGAACAAAUGUGUAAGUAACUAUGCACGUCUUGACGGUACCUAAUCAGAGAGCCACGGCUAACUACGUG
Molecule: ribosomal RNA, 497 nt
Filed under: uncultured bacterium
Lineage: Bacteria
Description: partial 16S ribosomal RNA
Rfam family: Bacterial small subunit ribosomal RNA
Source: RNAcentral